Salvia miltiorrhiza (redroot sage) is the source of this 704-nucleotide long non-coding RNA. RefSeq lists it as uncharacterized. The record is from RefSeq and is a predicted model, not a curated record. Lineage: Eukaryota; Viridiplantae; Streptophyta; Magnoliopsida; Lamiales; Lamiaceae. The transcript is spliced from 2 exons.
AGCAUGGGCGAAUAAACUUGAAACAGACUGUCACUAGCUAGCCUCAGAACUGUAUCACAACACAAACUCACUCCCAAGUUCAAAUCUGAAAAUUCUGAUUUCUGAAUCCAAUCUGCAGUGGUUUUAGGUAUGGCGAGGUUGAGAAAUUCUGUUCAUGGUUGGAAAUUUGGGUAUGGAUUGAAGUUUGAAGGCAAGUGACUUGUUCGCAAUCGCAAGACGACACGGACUCAUAGCAAUCGAAAUCGAAAUCUGCCGCUGACUUAGAGCAGAAUUCAGAUGGGGACGACGGAGGAGAGCAUCCGAAAGUGCUUUUAGUGCAGGCGCAAGAACGGUGACUGAUAGAAGAACUCAGUUGAGUCCGAAGUCUGUUAAAUUUUGCAUGCUGUUGAAGGAUUGGUUGGAUGAAGAAUACCGAUUGAAAAAUUUGGAGAGAGUAGGAGGAUCUAAAAUGCUGGAGAAUAUGAAGGGAGGCUAUUUCGAUGAUGACGAUGCUGACCAAGAUCAAGAUAUUGAGAGGCACUAUUUUCCCAAUGCAGAGUAUUACUGUUCGACUUCUCAAACUCCAAAUUUUACUUAUGAUUGGGAAAAACUUCCGGAUUAAGUGUUUUCAUGUAGUUCUUCUAGUCUUUUCUAUUUAUAUUUUACCUAUGAGUAUUUAUAAAAUAGAAGUAUUUUUAUUUAAUAUACAGGUAAGAUUUCAUUUC